CUUGCACCCCAAGGGGAUAUGUUGUGUCGGAUGAAAUUAUUAUCUUGUAACUCUUUGAUCUAUUUUCUCAAUUCUUUUAUUUUAAUAUGACUCAUUCGGUAUGAGACAACCGAGAUGAGUUGGGUGUGAGGUUGAAGAUCAAUGGCAAAUUUUACUUCUCGAUCUUUUGACAGUUUUAGUUGUUCAUCAGGGAAUACGUCCGAAAAAUUUUGAACAAUAAAGAUAUCUUAAAUGCAA
This 237-nucleotide long non-coding RNA is filed under the name Carica papaya (papaya). RNAcentral describes it as "long non-coding RNA (CPAP_LNC010291)". Lineage: Eukaryota; Viridiplantae; Streptophyta; Magnoliopsida; Brassicales; Caricaceae. The record is from RNAcentral.